CAGUCGCCGCGGUAAUACGGAGGGAGCUAGCGUUGUUCGGAAUUACUGGGCGUAAAGCGCGCGUAGGCGGUUACUCAAGUCAGAGGUGAAAGCCCGGGGCUCAACCCCGGAACUGCCUUUGAAACUAGGUGACUAGAAUCUUGGAGAGGUCAGUGGAAUUCCGAGUGUAGAGGUGAAAUUCGUAGAUAUUCGGAAGAACACCAGUGGCGAAGGCGGCUUACUGGCUCAUACUGGACGCUGAGGUGCGAAAGCGUGGGGAGCAAACAGGAUUAGAUACCCCCGUAGUCCCUGUCUCUUAUAC
Molecule: ribosomal RNA, 301 nt
Filed under: uncultured bacterium
Lineage: Bacteria
Description: partial 16S ribosomal RNA
Rfam family: Bacterial small subunit ribosomal RNA
Source: RNAcentral